RNAcentral lists this ribosomal RNA (467 nucleotides) under uncultured bacterium. RNAcentral describes it as "partial 16S ribosomal RNA". It matches the Rfam family "Bacterial small subunit ribosomal RNA", at positions 28 to 507 of the family's 1533-position model. The record is from RNAcentral.
GAUGAACGCUGGCGGCGUGCUUAACACAUGCAAGUCGAACGGAAAGGCCUCUGCUUGCAGGGGUACUCGAGUGGCGAACGGGUGAGUAACACGUGGGUGAUCUGCCCUGCACUUCGGGAUAAGCCUGGGAAACUGGGUCUAAUACCGGAUAGGACAAUGGUUUGGAUGCUGUUGUGGAAAGUUUUUCGGUGUGGGAUGAGCUCGCGGCCUAUCAGCUUGUUGGUGGGGUAAUGGCCUACCAAGGCGUCGACGGGUAGCCGGCCUGAGAGGGUGUACGGCCACAUUGGGACUGAGAUACGGGCCAGACUCCGACGGGAGGCAGCAGUGGGGAAUAUUGCACAAUGGGCGCAAGCCUGAUGCAGCGACGCCGCGUGGGGGAUGACGGCCUUCGGGUUGUAAACUCCUUUCGCUAGGGACGAAGCGUUUUUGUGACGGUACCUGGAGAAGAAGCACCGGCUAACUACGUG